RNAcentral lists this ribosomal RNA (459 nucleotides) under Dura ippoline. RNAcentral describes it as "partial large subunit ribosomal RNA". Lineage: Eukaryota; Metazoa; Arthropoda; Insecta; Lepidoptera; Erebidae. The record is from RNAcentral.
UGCCCACUGAUUUUUAUUAAAGGGCUGCAGUAUUUUGACUGUACAAAGGUAGCAUAAUCAUUAGUCAUUUAAUUGAUGACUUGUAUGAAUGAUUGGAUGAAAUAUUAACUGUCUAAUUAUUUAUUAAUAGAAUUUAAUUUUUUAGUUAAAAAGCUAAAAUUUUUUAAAAAGACGAGAAGACCCUUUAGAGUUUUAUUAUUAUUUUUAAUUAAGGUUAUUUAUAUAGAUAAUUACUUAAUUUUAUUUAAUAAUUUUGUUGGGGUGAUAGAAAAAUUAAUAAAACUUUUUUUUUUGUUAAACAUUGAUAAGUGAAUAAUUGAUCCAAUUAUAUUGAUUAUAAGAAAAAAUUACCUUAGGGAUAACAGCGUAAUUUUAUUUUUUAGUUCAAAUAAAAAAUAGAGUUUGCGACCUCGAUGUUGGAUUAAGAUAAAAUUUAAAUGUAGAAGUUUAAAGUUUUGA